UUUUUUUUUUUUUUUUUUUUUAAUAUGUAAGAACAUUAGUGUCAGCCACCCCAAUAACAAAUUCAUGGUUACAUCACAGCUCCCACAGUAGAGGGAAAGACUGUGGCAUAUAAAGAUUAUGCAGAUUACAAAUAUUUUGCAGUACCUCAGUGAUGCUUUGCCAAGCUUUUGCAAUUUCUAGAUACAAUCCAAAUCAAAUAUCCUGUUUUGUAAAACUUUGAAUUUCAAAGUCUUCUUUUGUUACUGUUUCUAUUUUCCUUGCAUCGCUGUACCAAAGCGAUGGAGUUUCUGGCAGUUCUGUACAACCUCUGCGUUCCUUUUAAAUUAGUCCACUUCAUACCUUUUUAUUUGAUGACACCUGUCCUCCCAGCCCACUGUCAUGAGCUACCGAAUGACUUUGAAAAAUCUACUGUCAUACCUAGAUCACUUCACACAAAAAAUCAAUUCACCGUUAAAAUAGUCAAACUCAAACCCAUAGUAGUCCUGUCUGGAGAAAGGAAAUGAUGAUCUGCCCUUCCAGAGUGAUAUGUCCUUGGCUGCUUCCAUGAGUGCUUCCAUUGGAUUAAAAUUGUCCUGCUUCUUCCUGCUCUGGUUGAGUCAGAGAAGACCAGCUGUAGUUGUGGCUGCACUCAUAAAUGUGCAGACCAUGGCGGUGGACCAUGGGGAGGGGAACAGCAGCUUGUGCCUAAAGGGUAAAGCAUUCCUUACUGUAGCAGCUGGAUGCAUCCUGCUGUGGGCUGAGGGAGCACUUCUGUGGUGGAGCUGUAUCAUCCUGGAGAAGUCCCUGAGCUCCUGUGCCAUGUGCAGCAGGGUGCUGAGGAGCUGGCAGGUAGGCCCCAGUACCUUGUGCAGGGGAGCCUCAGGAGCUGUACAAUUACAGGUGUGAGCUGCCUUCCCAGGGUCUGCAGCACCUUGUGCAGUUGAGGCAAUGGUAGAAAAACAACUGUGGGAUUUUUUUCUUUGAGAUCAGUGUUCCAGUAAAUCAUUAAAUUCCAAAGAAUAAACAAGUUCCCCCAGGAAGAAGCAAUUCAUUUGUGUUACUCUCUGACCUAUUAAAAUGCAAAAAUUGCUGUGGAAUUUACUCUGUGGUGAUAUGUUCCAGCGGUGGAGCAGUUUUCAUUACAGCUAGUGUUUUUCUAAUUAUAACUAUAAAUAAAAAUUAACCUCCAUCUCGAUUCAAAAUGGGUCCCACAGAUUGUCAGGUGCAUAGGUGAUGCAGUGCAGAGAGACAAAUGCAGCGGCACCUGCACCAUCAUCAUAUUGACUUACAACUUGGGGGUUAAUUAUUGAAUUCUUUGACUAAAAAUGGCUGCCCCAAUACAUGGUAAUUUCCAGAACGCUUAAAAGAAGCUUGACAGCUUCUCAUUAGAUUACAAUAGACAAACUGCCUGAAUCUACAGUGCAAUUUUAUUAAGGAUGCCCAAGUAUAAAAACAAGAGCUUUUCAUUUUGGUAUUGUAUGCUUUACAUUGCAUUGAUUUGCUUCUAUUGAUUUUUAAUAAAAAAGUGUUUUUCCAAAUGGUGUAAAUUAAUUGUUAUUGCACCACAGAAAACAGAACACUGCACCACAGUAAUUAACAUUUCCUGGCACAGAAUCCAGAGAGCUUGCUGCUGAAAUGGGCUUUAAAGCAUAUUUUGACUGUACUGCAAGCAUUGGUGUGUCUAUGAAGCUGUGAUGUGGCAGGCACAGCAACUGCUUUCACAGCUUGGAUAUGAGCAGAUACCCUCCAGGGCUCACAAGGCACUGUGUCCAUGAGAUAGAGGACAAACAGGCUAUUUGCUCUCCUUUCACUAUUUUUCCACAGCUGUUUGAGGACUUUGGAGACUGCUUUUGCCAAGCUGUGGAAAUAUGUCCUCUCUUUCUUUCUGUUACCUUCAAUUCUUGGUAUCCACCCAUUAUCUUUUGUCAUAUACAAGAGUUGCAUGCUUUAGGGAUAUGGCUCUUCACUGCUUUUCAUGUAUGAAGGUCCUCAUGCCUGGCUGAAGCUGCUUGGCUCUGUCAUGGAAUGGGGAGCUUGGACAUACCAAACAAGGUGAGGUAAAAAAGCCUGUACAGCAGGUAUCUCCAGUGUCAGCAGGAUCAUGGAAACUGGACACAAGCAUCUCUUCUUCCCCAUCAGGCACCUUUAGAGGAUUUAAGCAAUGUUAAGCAAACUUGGAUAGUACAUAGUGAAUACAUCCACCUCUUUAAAUACUAUAGUUUAAGUACAAAGGAAAAAAGGCACAUUCUUUAUAUAUAGCCAGUGGGGAAACUAAGGCACAGGAAACAGAAAAGAUUGAGAGGCGAAUCCUGUCAUGUUAGCAGCUGCACCUCAAACACAAUGCAAUCCCUUCUUUUGGGGACAUUUAAGUUAUUUUGUAGUUGUAAGCUACGUGUUACACAAAAGGAAUUUUUCCUUCAAAUGUUUUAUCAGAUGACAGUGAUAAUUCAAUUAACAAAAAAAGAAAACUCUACAUACCUUACUCCUCAGAUGAUCUUCUUUUGUACUAAGUUAAAACAUACCUUAAAACAAACAAACAAACAAAUAAAAGCAGUUUACCUUGGAAAAUACCUGUGGAAAAAAAGGUAAAAAAUCACCAGUAGAGAAUUACUGCACAGCUGGAAGUGGAAGGGUGCAUCUUCAUUCCCAGGAAACUCCUCAUGAACAGAAUCUCUGUAUGAGAGAGGAACCCAAAACAAGGAUGGCUGCUGCAGCCAUCCAAUCCUUCACACUCACAGCUAGAGGAACAGCUAAUGCUCUCAUCUAGUAACCAAGAUCCUUUAGCAAGUCAGGUAUCUGAUUUCUAUCUCUUGUCCUAACCACCUAUGCCAGAGACGCUUAAACUAUGAUUAACGCCGUAUUAUACACCCUUCUUAUAGACAUUUUUUUUUUUUUGGUAUGUCAGGGGAAAUCACAGGAGUGCACACGUUCCCAAGAAGUUCAGAUAUCCUCCUUGUUGUUCACUUAGUGGCGAUCCCAAAACUUUGAUUCUCAAACCUUGAAAUUCAGUGGAGAUUUACAAAUAAAUAGAAAAGAGAAUUAAUAAAAUAGUCUUUAUAUUAAUGAGAUUAGUUAAAUUAAAAAAAUUAUUCUUUAUGAAUAUUGUUUUCUGCUCUUAGUCAUUUUUCCAAAAACCUUGCCACUGGGUGCAAACUUUGAGCCUGAAAAGUAUGCAGUAUCUGAUCAGCUGAUACAAAUCAGCGGAGCUGUGCUGUGUUCUAUCCACUGAGAAUGUGACAUUCCAUUUUUGUCUGUUCUCACACAACUAGGUUUGAUACCAGGAGCAGGAGGAAAUUCUGUGAAACUCAUACUGAAACCAGUGGAAGUAUGAGAUGGGAAGGACUUCCUCCUAGCAGGUUUGGAAGGGGUCAUCUGUCACAAAAGCCACAAUAACUCUUAACAAGCAAGUGGACAAGAUGAGACCAAUAUGAAAAGAGAAAAGUUUGGAAGAGAGCACCAUGAGACUUCUACUUUCUUUAGGAAAUUGUAUCCCAAUGGUCUGAUAUGAAAUGUAUCUAUACCAUUAAGUGGAUUAAGAUGUUAUAGUGCUAGUCAUGCAGAUAAGGUUUUGUUACCAUGAUGGAGAUCUGUAGGAGAAAGAAUGUCUGCCUGUUGAGGAGAUAAGGCAAUAAAACCACUCUGCUUUUGUACGUCUGUGAUCCAGUGGGGAGGAGCUUUUUCCACUAUUGAGAAGUUCAGGUUCAACAAAAUCUUCUUGCAGUCCUACUUGGUGACCUCAUGAUGGAUUCAGGCAAAGCCUUUUGUUUGAGAUAGGAUAUGAAUUGAAACAAGAUGGUAAAGAAAAACAUUGAAUCAGAAUUCAAUAGAAGUGCAAAUUUGAAAGUCUCCCCCUAGCAGACGUAUUUUAAUGAAUGCAUAGUUACAGGGUGACUGUGUUAUCUCACUUUUCUUGUGCCAUUAACUGAGAAGAGAGUUUAAAAAAAAGUGUCCCCACAGAAAUCUUAUUCAUAUGUUUUAUUAUAUGCUCCAGCACGGGCACCACUUUAGUUUAAUGGUGUGUUGGAUGAUGGUACAAAUUUAUAGCCAAAGGUUUACAUCACAGACAGCUGGAAUGAAUAACAAUAAAUUAAUUUAAAGUGCUACAAAAGUGCUCCCCAUAGUAUGCAGUGCUUAUGUGCUCAAGGCUAAUAAUUUAUAAAUGCACAUCUUUUAUAAUCCUGAUCUAAAGUCCUGAAAGCAGCUAGUUAAAAAGCAGUCACAUGACAUAAAUUAUUUUUAUUAAUAUUUCAAAUGCACGAUUAGGGUGGGCACUGUGGUCAUUAGCAUUAGAUAGCUUUCAUUUAUGACCAAGUGCAAUGAAGCAACAGCCAGAGACAGCAAAACUAGCUAAGCAAUGGCACAACAAGUGUGAGAUGGAUGCUUCUUCUUUCCCAUGAUUUUCAUAUGUUAGUAAUCAUCAUGGCUGCAGCUAUGCGCUAUUUUCUUGACUAGCAGUCCUUUUCCUUUCAUUACUCUGCUAUGUUUAGCACAUCAGCUACUCACCAGGCCCAAAUGGUGAAGCCACGUGCAGCUGGGUGCAGUCAGAGGCCAUAGUGCUUCUCCUUGUGGCUUCUUUCCAUUCACAGACACUGAACACAGUGAGAGCACUGCUCUAAGAAUGCCUCUGAGACUUCCCUCGUUGCAGCAGUAGUGCUAAUGUGAACACUAAACUAGUAUCAAACGUUCAUGCAAACUCUUGCUUGGAUAAGAUAAGUUAUUUUGAAGUGUUUAUCUUGCUAAGAGGGGACACAACCAUUUUUGGAUCUAUGAAAGUAUUAGAGAGAAUUUAUGUCUCCAGAGAAACAAAUAUUUGCAGAAGAGCAUUGUGGAGAAUAAAGAUGAGGCCACACCAUGAGAUUCAUAGAAUCAUACAACCAUUAUGGUUGGAAAGAUGUCUAAGAUCAUGUAGUUCAGUCAUCAACCCAUGCCUGUGACCACCCUAGACUAUGUUACUCAGUGCAGUAUCCACCCUUAUCUUGAAAACCUCUGGAGAUGGUGACUCCCUGGGCAGCCUGUUCAAUCUUUUGGGUGGAGGAUAUGUUAUUUUCCCAGCAUUACCCAACAUUAAACUGCAGUCUUCUCUAGUUUAAGAAUGUAUUUACUCUCACUGGUAGAAGUAAAAAAGUAGCAGCUCAAAUAACUUCCAUAGCACUGCAUCUUUUUCUUCAGUGCACUUCUCAGGCAUAUCUCACUACUGGGAUAUCCCUGUCUUAAUGCUAUCGUUAUUUUCUCCAAGAAAAUUUGGCCUCCUCUCACUUUUCUUGGAGAAAAACAUUUACUUCUUGAAUGCAGUGUCAUAAAGCUGAGGUUACAGAAGGAGUCUUUCACAUUGGAAGAAGGAUCGUGAAUAAUUUCUGUGUCUCUCAUUCUGGGUGACUGCCAUAUAUCGGACUACAUAUUUGAAUCUUGGCAGAUGAUUGGAAAAUAUACACUACAAGCAACCCCAUUCACUUCAGCAGUUCUAGCAAAGUAAGCAAAGUGAUACAGAAAAUGGGCUGGAGUAUUAUAGCCUUGGCCCUUCACUCCUACUUUAAAGGAAAAAAACCUUUUUGCACUGCUCACAAUGUAAGCUUCUAAGCAGCAAUUUGCUAUUAUUUUUUAAUAUUGUAGGCCUCUACAAGCUCAUGGCCUCUCUCCUCUUCCUUUCUAGCUUUCUUUGAAAGUACUUUGUAAUUGAACACAUUUUCCAGAGGUCAAUGGGGGCAUAUUUGCAUUUUGAUACAUUCUAAUUUUUUUUGCCUCCAGCACGCCACUCCAAAGCACUGUGCUAAUCAGAAGCAAAUAAUGAUCUCCUAGGUGCUGUAAGUGGGUGACUAGGCACAAAAAGGCAUAACAACAUGCAAAAAUUAGUGAGGAAAAAAUACACGGUAAAAUAAAUAAAUAAGAAACAGAGUGAUUAUGCUGGCAAAAGCGUUUAGAUUUGUAAGCUGAAGUCCUGCAUGGAACAAGCAGCUAAUUUGUUUCUGUGCGCCACUGAAGGGAUAAGGGCGUUAAGGGCACUCCUGUGCUGAUGGAGGGCUGGAUUCUCUGUGCUCAUUGCUCAUACACACGUCAGUGUACCCAGAUGAUGCAUAAGCAUUUCUGAGGGCUUUUUAUACCACCAGGAAACACCUUGUGUUCUGAAAAAUCCAAAUACAAGAUUAGGCAGGAUCUAGAAAAAUGGGGCAGUCCCCAAAGCAUGGGUUUAUCUGCAUGGAGGUCUUUUAUUUUUAGCACUGGUGACAGGUUUUCACUCAAGCAUCCCUGUCCCAGUGGGGAUGGGGUGUAUGUGAGAAGGAGAAGAUUGGAGCUGAGAAGAUUAUUUCAUUCUCAAAAUGUUUUUCUUAUUUUAGUUUGAAUAUCUUUAGCAGACAGAGGUGCAGAGAAACACGAGCCCUUCCCCACUAACUGCAGCAUCAGGAGAAAAGCUCCUGAUAAGCAGAUGCUGCUCAGGCAGCACUCAGCCAGGCAGUGUGUGCUUAUGCACGAGAGAUGGAGGUACCGGCAGGCAGCGAGCAGAGGCACUGCGGUGAGUGUGUGUGUGGCUGUGAGAGAGGGGCAAUGCAGGUUUGUCUGCAGAAGGAAACAAUGCCUGAGCAAAGCUGAGCUGCUCCAGUGAGCAUUUUGUGUGUGUGUUUGGAAGAAGGCAAAGAGAAGCAGCCAAGGGAGAGAGACUGAAUGGAAAAGAAGGACUGCCAAAGUGGAAUAUGGUGUGGAAAUGUGAACGUAGACAUGGACACUGAAAAUGCCCCAAACAGUUCUUCUUUCUGUCGCAAGAGCAACAAAACUCUUCCAUCUAUGCUUUCACUGCUUCUCUAUAGGUAUAAGAGGGCUGUCAAAAAGCUGCAGAGUUACACCCCUGGAGGAGGGAGGAGUGUGGCUCUCCAUUGUUACCGGUCUACUUCAACUUCCCAGAUGAAAG
RNAcentral lists this long non-coding RNA (6881 nucleotides) under Gallus gallus (chicken). RNAcentral's name for it is "lncRNA (ENSGALG00010023656.1)". The record is from RNAcentral. Lineage: Eukaryota; Metazoa; Chordata; Aves; Galliformes; Phasianidae.